This 504-nucleotide ribosomal RNA is filed under the name uncultured bacterium. RNAcentral's name for it is "bacterial SSU rRNA". It matches the Rfam family "Bacterial small subunit ribosomal RNA", at positions 1 to 507 of the family's 1533-position model. The record is from RNAcentral.
UCGACGAGUUUGAUCAUGGCUCAGGAUGAACGCUAGCGGCAGGCCUAACACAUGCAAGUCGAGGGGCAGUCCCGCAGUAAUGCGGGAGCGACCGGCGCACGGGUGAGUAACGCGUAUGCAACCUACCCUUAACUGGGGAAUAGCCCGAAGAAAUUCGGAUUAAUGUCCCAUAAUAUUAUUUUAUCGCAUGAUAAAAUUGUAAAAGCUCCGGCGGUUAAGGAUGGGCAUGCGUGACAUUAGCUGGUUGGUGAGGUAACGGCCCACCAAGGCUACGAUGUCUAGGGGGCCUGAGAGGGUAGUCCCCCACACUGGUACUGAGACACGGACCAGACUCCUACGGGAGGCAGCAGUGAGGAAUAUUGCGCAAUGGAGGCAACUCUGACGCAGCCAUGCCGCGUGCAGGAAGACGGUCCUAUGGAUUGUAAACUGCUUUUAUACGGGAAUAAUUCCCUCUACGUGUAGGGGUUGAAUGUACCGUAAGAAUAAGCAUCGGCUAACUCCGAG